AGGAAAUGGAGCGAUCAUUUUACCGAAAAAAGGAGAAGCUGGCGCAACUAUUGUCUCUAAAUGAAAGUAUAAUCUUGAUGUUUGUGGAAAGAGAAGACAGACAGUUAACACAGACCUGCUCCAAAUGGCAUAACCUUUUGAGCUUUGGCUAUGAAACUUAAGUGUGUGUGCUGAAUUCAUGUUAAUAAAUACGUUUGACUG
This is a long non-coding RNA of Cyclopterus lumpus (lumpfish), 201 nucleotides long. RefSeq lists it as uncharacterized. The transcript has 2 exons. Lineage: Eukaryota; Metazoa; Chordata; Actinopteri; Perciformes; Cyclopteridae. The record is from RefSeq and is a predicted model, not a curated record.